AUGCCACCCCCCCAACCCACCACCCCCCUGAGGGGUCUCCGCGAGGCCUGGGUUUCCUGCCUCCCUGGAUGCCAGCAUGUGGACGCCCAGGUGCCCCAGCCGUGGAGCGCAGCUUCAGCGAGGGGCUGUCGGGGUCCGGAGCUGGCUGUGUGGGUUCCCACCCACCACAACCCCCCACCCCCUCAGUCUGCACCCUCAGGAGAGAGGGGCUGCACGGAGCUGCGGGGCGCCCCCUCCCCCUCCCCCUCCGGGCUCCCCGGGGCGCGGUGGGCCAGGGGCGCGCGGGUUGCCGGGCGACCGCGCCGUUGCCAGUGGCGACGCGUACGCACACUCCACACCACCACCUACCCCGCGCUGCAGAACGCAGGCGGUGGCAGGGCGAUGGGUGCCUGCACUGCGGAGUACGCGCUUGGGCUGCGAACAGGGACCGCCCGGGGUGAGGGGGGGGUUGUUCCUCCAACCCUUUCGGUUAAGGGGGGCCCUCUGGCCCCCAUCCCACAGUCAGGGUCAGGGGAACCUCGAGACGCCCAUCCCAGCGCCUCUGGGUCUGGGCACCGACCCUCCCCACGCACACCAGGGCUGAGUGAGUGCAGGACAGAAGGUAGCUCCGACUCCCAACCCGGCUGCCAUCCUCCUGGCAGUUUGCCUGCAAGAGUCCCGGGAGGAUGGAAAGGGAGAUUUGUCACGAGAGCUGGGUUAUUUCCUUAUAGAAAAACAGGCUCCGAAUGGUUCCGACACUUACCGGAGGUUUUAACUGCUAGCGACCAACCAGCGGCGCUGGAAUUGGAAUCAAAGCUCCUCAUGUGGCUCACUUCGUCCUGUCCCUCCCCGGUAGUUUGGUGGGUGCCCGUGGGCGGGGUUCACGGCCUCUCUGGUUGCCCUGUCCCCGCUGUAAAAAGAGGUGUUUCCUGGAUCCAGGAGUGGCCCUUGGGGUGCAGGCCUGGGGCCUGGUGCGGGGGUGUGUGGGGGGGAGAGCCACUCCUUGGCCCCGCCUCCCUCCAG
Molecule: long non-coding RNA, 1002 nt
Filed under: Sus scrofa (pig)
Lineage: Eukaryota; Metazoa; Chordata; Mammalia; Artiodactyla; Suidae
Description: lncRNA (ENSSSCG00070017366.1)
Source: RNAcentral